This 915-nucleotide ribosomal RNA is filed under the name uncultured bacterium. RNAcentral describes it as "bacterial SSU rRNA". It matches the Rfam family "Bacterial small subunit ribosomal RNA", at positions 33 to 928 of the family's 1533-position model. The record is from RNAcentral.
ACGCUGGCGGCGUGCCUAAUACAUGCAAGUCGAACGAGAGCGACCGGUGCUUGCACUGGUCAAUCUAGUGGCGAACGGGUGAGUAACACGUGGGUAACCUGCCCAUCAGAGGGGGAUAACAUUCGGAAACGGAUGCUAAAACCGCAUAGGUCUUCGAACCGCAUGGUUUGAAGAGGAAAAGAGGUGCAAGCUUCUGCUGAUGGAUGGACCCGCGGUGCAUUAGCUAGUUGGUGAGGUAACGGCUCACCAAGGCCGUGAUGCAUAGCCGACCUGAGAGGGUGAUCGGCCACAUUGGGACUGAGACACGGCCCAAACUCCUACGGGAGGCAGCAGUAGGGAAUCUUCCGCAAUGGACGCAAGUCUGACGGAGCAACGCCGCGUGAGUGAAGAAGGUUUUCGGAUCGUAAAACUCUGUUGUUAGAGAAGAACAAGUGCUAGAGUAACUGUUAGCGCCUUGACGGUAUCUAACCAGAAAGCCACGGCUAACUACGUGCCAGCAGCCGCGGUAAUACGUAGGUGGCAAGCGUUGUCCGGAUUUAUUGGGCGUAAAGCGAGCGCAGGCGGUUCCUUAAGUCUGAUGUGAAAGCCCCCGGCUCAACCGGGGAGGGUCAUUGGAAACUGGGGAACUUGAGUGCAGAAGAGGAGAGUGGAAUUCCAUGUGUAGCGGUGAAAUGCGUAGAUAUAUGGAGGAACACCGGUGGCGAAGGCGACUCUCUGGUCUGUAACUGACGCUGAGGCUCGAAAGCGUGGGUAGCAAACAGGAUUAGAUACCCUGGUAGUCCACGCCGUAAACGAUGAGUGCUAAGUGUUGGAGGGUUUCCGCCCUUCAGUGCUGCAGUUAACGCAUUAAGCACUCCGCCUGGGGAGUACGACCGCAAGGUUGAAACUCAAAGGAAUUGACGGGGACCCGCACAA